This 83-nucleotide ribosomal RNA is filed under the name Salinisphaera sp. G21_0. Its description in RNAcentral is "partial 16S ribosomal RNA". It matches the Rfam family "Bacterial small subunit ribosomal RNA", at positions 1451 to 1533 of the family's 1533-position model. The record is from RNAcentral. Lineage: Bacteria; Pseudomonadati; Pseudomonadota; Gammaproteobacteria; Salinisphaerales; Salinisphaeraceae.
CGAUUACCACGGAGUGAUUCAUGACUGGGGUGAAGUCGUAACAAGGUAGCCCUAGGGGAACCUGGGGCUGGAUCACCUCCUUA